GCCGGGCGUGGUGACUCACGCCUGUAAUCCAAGCACUUAGGAGGCCAAGGUGGGUGGAUCACCUGAGGUCGGGAGUUCAAGACCAGCCUGACCAACAUGGUGAAACCCCUUCUUUA
Callithrix jacchus (white-tufted-ear marmoset) is the source of this 116-nucleotide unclassified non-coding RNA. It matches the Rfam family "Metazoan signal recognition particle RNA". From Rfam's summary of the family: The signal recognition particle (SRP) is a universally conserved ribonucleoprotein. It is involved in the co-translational targeting of proteins to membranes. Lineage: Eukaryota; Metazoa; Chordata; Mammalia; Primates; Cebidae. The record is from Ensembl.